UGAGUAUAGUUGAGGUAGCUGGAAUGAGUAGUGUAGCGGUGAAAUGCAUAGAUAUUACUCAGAACACCGAUUGCGAAGGCAGGUUACCAAGUUAUAACUGACGCUGAGGGACGAAAGCGUGGGGAGCGAACAGGAUUAGAUACCCUGGUAGUCCACGCCGUAAACGAUGCUAACUCGUUUUUGGGCUAUAUGGUUCAGAGACUAAGCGAAAGUGAUAAGUUAGCCACCUGGGGAGUACGACCGCAAGGUUGAAACUCAAAGGAAUUGACGGGGGCCCGCACAAGCGGUGGAUCAUGUGGUUUAAUUCGAUGAUACGCGAGGAACCUUACCAAGGCUUAAAUGGGAAUUGACAGCUGUAGAAAUACGGUUUUCUUCGGACGAUUUUCAAGGUGCUGCAUGGUUGUCGUCAGCUCGUGCCGUGAGGUGUUAGGUUAAGUCCUGCAACGAGCGCAACCCCUGUCACUAGUUGCCAUCAUUAAGUUGGGGACUCUAGUGAGACUGCCUACGCAAGUAGAGAGGAAGGUGGGGAUGACGUCAAAUCAUCACGGCCCUUACGCCUUGGGCCACACACGUGAUACAAUGGCCGGUACAGAGGGCA
Molecule: ribosomal RNA, 598 nt
Filed under: Riemerella anatipestifer
Lineage: Bacteria; Pseudomonadati; Bacteroidota; Flavobacteriia; Flavobacteriales; Weeksellaceae
Description: bacterial SSU rRNA
Rfam family: Bacterial small subunit ribosomal RNA
Source: RNAcentral